This 2277-nucleotide long non-coding RNA is filed under the name Canis lupus familiaris (dog). RNAcentral's name for it is "lncRNA (ENSCAFG00040024406.1)". Lineage: Eukaryota; Metazoa; Chordata; Mammalia; Carnivora; Canidae. The record is from RNAcentral.
AGAGAUUGUUAGGUUUUACUGAACAAAAGAGUUUGGAUUUACUUAAAAAAAAAUUGCAAUGAAUACAAAGUAAACAGUAUUACCGUUUCUUCCUCUCAGAUGUUGGACCACAUCACCUACUCGAACAAACCCUUGUUUCUACUUUGUGAUCCACAAGACAAAUGACUUCUUGUUUUCAUGAUUAAAGAUAUAAAAUGGUUUCCAGACACUCCAUUCUUACAGAGGAUACACUCACAAACUUCCUUCCUGACUUAAAGAAAUAUCUACUCAAAUCACUAACAUCUAUGUUGAAGAGCACUGGAGUUUUUUUGUCUAAGAUCCAGGAUGGUGUUGGGGAUUGUUUUCCUUUUGAGGAAUAUCUCUGUUACCCAGUGGCAGAAGUUUAGAGUUACGAAGCCCUCACAGAUCAGAGGAGACAUGGGAGCAGCUGCUUGGAAGACCUCCCAAAAUGAGAGAGACCGAUGGAUGUGAUUUUUAAGAAGUGAGACCACUGCUUUUCAAUCUUAAUGAACGAGUUUACAAAUCUCUUGGAGACUUUGUAAAAAUGUCUAUUUUGGGGGUGAGACCUGAGUUUUUUGCAUUUCUGACAAGCCCUCAGUGAUGCUAAUGUUGCUGGUCCGUGGACCACACUUUGCUUGGUGGCAAGGAUUCGGACCGUUCACUCUAUGAAAGCACUCUUCCUCAAAGGUUCUGAAAAAAACUCAAGAAUUAAACUGCUUUUCAUGAUUUUUUUCCUUGCUACUUUAUGAUUCUUUGCCAGGAGUGACUGAUUCAUUCAUUCAUUUGUAGGCUUCUUGCCAGUGUGGAGCCUAAUGUGAGGUUUGAACUCAUGACCCUGAGAUCAAAACCUGAGCUGAGAUCGAGGCGGAUGCUUAACUGACUGAGCCACCCAGGCGCCCCAAGGUUGCCAGGAUUUACACAGCAUUUGUGAAACCUACAGUUACCCUUGGGUGAUAAUGUUGUACCAGGACCUGUAUCCUAUACAGACCUGUGUCUGUAUGAUAAUCAGAAGAUAAAACAGCUUUGUCUGAUUUUGGAAACAGUAUAACAAUAUUGCAUUAAAAAAAAAAAAAAACAAACCCAUGAUCCCAAAGACCAUUUGUUAAACAUCCACUCUGUUCCAAACACUCUACCAGGUCCUGGGGAUUCAAAGUUGAAAAUUACAUCACCCCUACUGGCAAAGAUCUGAAUUCCAUGGAGUUGGGUGCUAUGGUAGGUUAUGCAUAAAUGACAGGGGAAACAGAUGGAAAACCAACCUGCAUAUGGGGAAGAGUAAAAGGCCACUGAGAAGAGUUAAGCCUUGAAUGAUAGGUAAAGCUGACCUGUCAGGAAAGGGGGAGAGAACAUUCUCUGCAGUAAAACUGGCAGGUGCCAAGAUGUGGAGGCAGUUGCCUUUGCAGCAGACUUCUGAUGGUGGGUGUUUUGCUCUUUACCUGACAAAUUCACUACCAACCAAAUAAAAUUAGCAUUGUACUGAGAAAUAGUAUUAUGUUAUUUACAGUGACAAAUAAUUGAAAUGAGAAACAGGUAUUUCUUCUAAGAAAAUACUUGAAAAAGCAAGUGGAUAUUAAAUUUUCUAUAAUUACUGUCUGCACUGUCUUUUAAAUGAAGCUUUGUAAAAGAAAUAAAAAGAAAAGGAUGUGUUUUGCAUCAGGGCCCAGUUCCCUGACGAGGAAGCUACGAGAACAUGCAUCAGAAGCAGCCCCUACUGCUUUCAGGCACAAGACUAGUUUCCCUGUGAUAUUAGAGACAGUCGCUUUUGACUGUGAUUUUUAGGAUAUCUCCACAUACAGGGUCAGCCUUUCAAGAAACCAGCUCUGUAUGGUCUGUCUUCUUGUUUUGUUUCUUCCCAUCACCCAAACUAACUGAUAGACCUUUUUUUUUUUUUUUUUUUUUUUACUGAUAGACAUUUUUAAGGGCUACGCUGUACGGCACAAGCUUCAACUAUAGCUAAUGUUAAAUUCAUUUGUUUGCUAUACACCUAUUCAUUUUUCAGUAUUUUAUGCUGAGCACUGUCCUAGGCUUUGAAAGUAAAAUGACAAAGCAGACAGGGGGGAUCCCUAACCCCAAGAAGCUUACAUUCUACUGGAAGCACCACCAAGCAAUAUGGAACUCGAUUUCAUAAGCGGUUCUCAAAGUGUGGUCCAUGGAACUUCAGGGCUCCCCAAGACCCUUGUUGUAGGCCCAUGGGGUCAUAAAACUUUUCCUAAUAACACUAAGAUGUUUGCUCCCUCUCCCUGCUUGUGACAAUUGCACAGAUGGUGCAGAAACAAUGAC